AAAAAAAAAAAAAAUUCUUUGAAAUAGUUACUUUUUAAAUUACCUAAUAUACCACUUUCUUUUCUGCCAAAAUUAUGAAUGGUUUUCCAGUUCAAACUUAGACACACAGUUUACCAUUUAAGGCUCCAGGUCUCAGUUUCUCCUCCUAACUUUCCAGCAUCUGCCCAUACUCUGUAUAAGCCACUUGAACUCUGGCUUUGGCUGUUAAUCUGUAAAUGUCCUAAUGCCAGCAACAAUAUCCUCUUAUAUACAAAUAAUUCCAAGCAUAGGUAGUCUUCUUGUUUAAAAAGGGGAGGGGGCAGAACUUGCCUUGAUUAGAUUAGUAUGAGUUUCUUUUCUGAAUGGCUACGAUAUUUUAAUCUGUGAUAUUUAAAUUAUCACCUUAUAUCCCUCCACGAAUUUUCCUGUGCAUUAGUCUGAUCUCACCAACAUUCGUUAAUUCAACAGGUAGGAAUCCUCAACCUGUGCCUAGGAUUCAGCAACAAACCACCUGGAACACAUGGUCCCUUAGCACUUGAAGAGGUUAAAGCCUAACCUGCUAUGUGACUGUAGACAGAGCCUUUAUAAGGGGAUUAAAUGAGGUCAUAAGAAUGAGUCCCUAACCCACCAGGACUAGUGUCCUGGUAAGAAGAGGGAGGCACACCAGGAGUUUGCCGGCACGGAGGAAAAGCCCUGUGAGGACACGGGGAGGGCAGCUAUCUGUUUACACACCAGGAAGAAAUGUCUCACCAGAUACCAACCCUGGCCGUCUCCUGGAUUUUGGAUUUCCAAUCUCCAGAACUGUGAGAAAAUAAAUUUCUGUUUAAGCCA
Molecule: long non-coding RNA, 810 nt
Organism: Homo sapiens (human)
Lineage: Eukaryota; Metazoa; Chordata; Mammalia; Primates; Hominidae
Exons: 2
Source: RefSeq, a predicted model, not a curated record